Molecule: ribosomal RNA, 748 nt
Filed under: uncultured Lachnospiraceae bacterium
Lineage: Bacteria; Bacillati; Bacillota; Clostridia; Lachnospirales; Lachnospiraceae
Description: bacterial SSU rRNA
Rfam family: Bacterial small subunit ribosomal RNA
Source: RNAcentral
GAUGAACGCUGGCGGCGUGCUUAACACAUGCAAGUCGAACGAAGCUGUUGUUUGGAGACCUUCGGGUGGAAGAAUGACAGACUGAGUGGCGGACGGGUGAGUAACGCGUGGGUAACCUACCUUGCACAGGGGGACAACAGUUGGAAACGACUGCUAAUACCGCAUAAGACCACAGUACCGCAUGGUACAGGGGUAAAAACUGAGGUGGUGCAAGAUGGACCCGCGUCUGAUUAGCUAGUUGGUGGGGUAAAGGCCUACCAAGGCGACGAUCAGUAGCCGACCUGAGAGGGUGAUCGGCCACAUUGGGACUGAGACACGGCCCAAACUCCUACGGGAGGCAGCAGUGGGGAAUAUUGGACAAUGGGGGGAACCCUGAUCCAGCGACGCCGCGUGAGUGAAGAAGUAUUUCGGUAUGUAAAGCUCUAUCAGCAGGGAAGAAAAUGACGGUACCUGACUAAGAAGCCCCGGCUAACUACGUGCCAGCAGCCGCGGUAAUACGCAGGGGGCAAGCGUUAUCCGGAUUUACUGGGUGUAAAGGGAGCGCAGACGGCUUGGCAAGUCUGAAGUGAAAGCCCGGGGCUUAACCCCGGGACUGCUUUGGAAACUGUGAAGCUAGAGUGUCGGAGAGGUAAGUGGAAUUCCCAGUGUAGCGGUGAAAUGCGUAGAUAUUGGGAGGAACACCGGUGGCGAAGGCGGCUUACUGGACGAUAACUGACGUUGAGGCUCGAAGGCGUGGGGAGCAAACAGG